UGAUAAUUAGUUUAAUAUAAAACAAGUGAUUUCGACUCACUAGAUUAUGGGCUUCUAUAAUUAUCAA
RNAcentral lists this transfer RNA (67 nucleotides) under Spermophilus dauricus (Daurian ground squirrel). It matches the Rfam family "tRNA". Rfam says of the family: Transfer RNA (tRNA) molecules are approximately 80 nucleotides in length. Their secondary structure includes four short double-helical elements and three loops (D, anti-codon, and T loops). Further hydrogen bonds mediate the characteristic L-shaped molecular structure. tRNAs have two regions of fundamental functional importance: the anti-codon, which is responsible for specific mRNA codon recognition, and the 3' end, to which the tRNAs corresponding amino acid is attached (by aminoacyl-tRNA synthetases). tRNAs cope with the degeneracy of the genetic code in two manners: having more than one tRNA (with a specific anti-codon) for a particular amino acid; and 'wobble' base-pairing, i.e. permitting non-standard base-pairing at the 3rd anti-codon position. Lineage: Eukaryota; Metazoa; Chordata; Mammalia; Rodentia; Sciuridae. The record is from Rfam by way of RNAcentral.